This 720-nucleotide long non-coding RNA is filed under the name Marmota monax (woodchuck). Lineage: Eukaryota; Metazoa; Chordata; Mammalia; Rodentia; Sciuridae. The record is from RNAcentral.
UGUUUUGUCCCAUGGAACAUCAGUGGUUUGGGCUGCACUGGGAAUGUAUGGACAUCUCUGGAAGCCUAACAUAUACUUCACGGUCCUGUGAAAUGAAAGAUACAUGUCUCAGGGACAGUGUCUUCAGGUCUGGCUAGUCCACUCCUGAGCAGCAGCCUACAUUCUUCAUUUUAUGCAGAUAAUUAGGUGAAGAGUAAGUAGCACAGGGAGGACCAGGGGUUCCAUGCAGCUUGCCUGGAGGGACUCUCAAUUAGAUAGGAGGCCACACUGAUGGUUACAGUGGAAGAACUCCAGAGUAAGGAAAAGAGGGACUAUGGGCUGCAGGUUCAAAACAGAAGUGGCUACAAAGAAAGCAGAACACGGUGGUCAUGCUGUGGUUGUGGCUUCAAGUGGACAUUGGAGUUGUAGGCAGGAAAUAUCUCUGAUCAUGAAGACAGAAGACACUUGACCACAAGGGAUCUUACUCCAAGGCACAGAUCCUUGAGAAAUGGACUGAGGAGUAUACUACCACCACUACCUCCACCUCCACCAAGAAGAAAAAAGAAAUAAAGAGAACAAAUCUUUCCUGGCAAGAGACUUCUGUAAGGAAAAGAAGGCAGACUUCAAGAUGCUAGCAGAUUCUGUUAUGAGAAUAAGAAAUACAAUUUGAAACUCCUCAAAUAUACUCACACUUCAUCCACAUCAUCCCUUUAAUAUUGCCCCCUCCAGACCCCUAUCCAC